This 698-nucleotide ribosomal RNA is filed under the name uncultured Enterobacteriaceae bacterium. Its description in RNAcentral is "bacterial SSU rRNA". It matches the Rfam family "Bacterial small subunit ribosomal RNA", at positions 1 to 715 of the family's 1533-position model. Lineage: Bacteria; Pseudomonadati; Pseudomonadota; Gammaproteobacteria; Enterobacterales; Enterobacteriaceae. The record is from RNAcentral.
UCGGCUUAGAGUUUGAUCAUGGCUCAGAUUGAACGCUGGCGGCAGGCUUAACACAUGCAAGUCGAACGGUAUGAGUGCUUGCACUUGACGAGUGGCGGACGGGUGAGUAAUGUAUGGGGAUCUGCCGAAUGGAGGGGGACAACAGUUGGAAACGACUGCUAAUACCGCAUAAUGUCGCGAGACCAAAGCGUUUCGACGUACCAUUUGAUGAACCCAUAUGGGAUUAGCUAGUAGGUAGGGUAAAGGCCUACCUAGGCGACGAUCUCUAGCUGGUCUGAGAGGAUGACCAGCCACACUGGAACUGAGACACGGUCCAGACUCCUACGGGAGGCAGCAGUGGGGAAUAUUGCACAAUGGGGGAAACCCUGAUGCAGCCAUGCCGCGUGUAUGAAGAAGGCCUUAGGGUUGUAAAGUACUUUCGGUAAUGAGGAAGGUGACUAUUAACAUAGUUAAUUGGCGUUAAUUACAGAAGAAGCACCGGCUAACUCCGUGCCAGCAGCCGCGGUAAUACGGAGGGUGCGAGCGUUAAUCGGAAUGACUGGGCGUAAAGGGCAUGUAGGCGGAUGAUUAAGUUAGGUGUGAAAGCCCCGGGCUCAACCUGGGAAUUGCACUUAAAACUGGUCAUCUGGAGUAUUGUAGAGGAAAGGUAAAUUCCACGUGUAGCGGUGAAAUGCGUAGAGAUGUGGAGGAACCGGUGG